Clupea harengus (Atlantic herring) is the source of this 1093-nucleotide long non-coding RNA. Lineage: Eukaryota; Metazoa; Chordata; Actinopteri; Clupeiformes; Clupeidae. The record is from Ensembl.
CGUAUAUAUCCGCAGGCAGCUGACCACAGAAUUCCAGAAUUCUUCCCUCUUAGUGCCUGUUGACAAUACAAAGCAAUCUCUACCGCUCAGUGUAAAUGCCCGUGUUUUUCUUUGCUCUCACUUUGCAGUGUUGUUAUGCACCCAUUUCUGUCAUACUGUCAGUGCACAGUCAGAGAUCGGAGAAACAAGUUUUCCCCGACCUUUCUUUCUUGUCAUUUAUUUUUCUUGGAGAUCUGUGAAUCCUUCCCUUCCUUCUUUGUUUUUUGCAUUACUUGAGUUUCUUUAUCUGCGCUCGGUGGCCUUUAAAAAAAAUGUUUGUCGAAAAUUCGAUGGCCACACAGUGUAAGUGCGUUUUAAUCAAACUACCUAACACAUUAGUUUGUAACAAACUACUUCAAAUGACCUGCCCACGUCUACCUUGAACUAUGCUAUCUUGAGCAGUAUAACACAUUUGGACACAGUGCCCUCCAGACCUCACAUUAAUCACCAUGGGCACAUAAACACACAAUCAGUGGUAGCUCCCUUAGAGUGCCCCCUGCUGUUAGACUCACACCAAUGCCUUGGCCUUAGAACAGACAGUAGCCUUAUAUUCUCAUAGGCAAAUAAUCCCCCAGCUCUCACUCAUGCCAGCAUGACUUGUGGCCACUACUGUAAGGCUGGUUUGCCCACUCACAAACUGGGCCUUUGGGUACUUGGAGAGCCCACAUGAAGAGAGAAAGGUCAGGCUUGUGAUGCUGGCUUGUGAUGCUGGCUGUCUCCAACUCAAAAGUGUGACUUAAAAAAACAGAAACAUUAUGCACUUUUUCUUCUUUCUCUCUCUCUCUCUUCCGUUGUGUUGAGAUGUUCUGUUUGUGGUAUUACACAGAGAAAAGUAUGAACUUGAAAAAAAAAAGCACACACCACUCACACUAUUAAGGGCUUUUUUUUAAACAAUCAGAAUGUUUUGCUGCUGUUAAAAAAUGUUUGAAAUAAUCCUUUGUAAUAUUUUUUAACCACUGUGAUUUGUACAAAAUGGAACAAAACAAGUAGGAAAACAACUUUGCCGUUUCAGUAUUUUAAUGUUUGACUUGGCUUUUAUUAAAACUUAACAGAA